AGGGUCCCUGAGGGUGGGGAGUGAGCAGCCUGCCUGGCAGCCGGAGCAGAGAGCUGAGAGAGCACAUCUCCAUCUACGCGCAGGUGGCCAAGAGUAAACCGGAAGUAUAAACCCUCAAAGCUGCCUCCGGUGACAUGCUUUCUCCAGCAAGGCUCCAAACAGAGCCACCAAAGGGGGAACCAAGUGUUCAUAUACCUGAGCCUUUGGGGGACAUUUUCUAUUUAAACCAGGUGUCCCUCCCAGAUGCACAGAAGUUGAGGUAUCCUCAUCUACCUGUGUGCUCCCUUGACAAAGGUCUGUCUCAACAGGACAAGAGGAUAACUAACAGCUGGCACGAGCCGGAAAUGGACUGCCUUUGCCUGGUUUGGUUAUAGAUCUGGGAAGUGUUCCCUUCUGGAUUCUGCGACGGGAAGCGUUGUGUAGCUCUGCUGUUCUUUAAAAGCCUAGGAUACGCCAGUGAAGCUCUGGAAACCACGGGGCUUUCUUUUGGGGGGAUUUUUAAAUUAUGGAUUUACUUUUUAAAUAGUUACUAAGCUACUCAGGUAACCUAGCUCACGUGGUCAUUUCUGAUUGGAGAAGAUCGGUGUUGGCGUGCUCAUCUCGGAGGGCGACUUGCCACAGGCAGAGCUGAGCUCAGGGAGGAGCCGGUGCUUUUCUCCCAGGGGACAGCACCGUGCCAGCUUUGCUAAGCUCCACUUGACAGCUGUCCCUUCCUGACCCUCCAGUUUCACCACAGGGCUCCGUCUCCUGCCCACUGUUUCCUUGCCUUGUGAGCAGGUUCUCAUGGCUCUCCUGGCAUCCGGAGGCUCCUCCCCAGGUCAGGAGCAAACUCCUGUAGUUUACCAACCUUCCACAUGACUGCUGUGCGCUAACGCUGGGCACCUCUGUUGUAAGAGGUUAUUUCAUCAAAGGGAUAAAGCUUAGCUAGCAACCUUUCCCAAAGUGUCCCCUGUUUAACAAAGGCCACUUUUGAUCCGGGGAGGCCUUGGCGAGGUGGGGAAAGACCUAUACUGCGGUCUGGAAAGAUUGUGUGCUUGUGUCUGAAUUGGACCGUCCCAUCUUGAAUACAUCACUCUGUUGAUUUUCAGCACAUUAGACUUUUGUUUUUAUAAAAUGGAUACUUUUCCUACUUCGUGAAGUGUAAUCAGACCAUAGAAAUUAUUGUUAUAAAGUAUAAUAAUCAUGA
Peromyscus eremicus (cactus mouse) is the source of this 1186-nucleotide long non-coding RNA. RefSeq lists it as uncharacterized. The record is from RefSeq and is a predicted model, not a curated record. The transcript is spliced from 2 exons. Lineage: Eukaryota; Metazoa; Chordata; Mammalia; Rodentia; Cricetidae.